This 255-nucleotide ribosomal RNA is filed under the name uncultured bacterium. RNAcentral's name for it is "partial 16S ribosomal RNA". It matches the Rfam family "Bacterial small subunit ribosomal RNA", at positions 524 to 777 of the family's 1533-position model. The record is from RNAcentral.
UACAGAGGGUGCAAGCGUUUAAUCGGAAUUACUGGGCGUAAAGCGCACGUAGGUGGUUUGGCAAGUUGGAUGUGAAAGCCCUGGGCUUAACCUGGGAACUGCAUUCAAUACUACUAAGCUAGAGUGGAGUAGAGGGAAGUGGAAUUUCCGGUGUAGCGGUGAAAUGCGUAGAUAUCGGGAGGAACACCAGUGGCGAAGGCGGUUGCCUGGAGCUUUGCUGACGCUGAUGCGCGAAAGCGUGGGGAGCGAGUCCGG